AUAAUAUUUUAAAAUUUUAUAAAUAUUGAUUCAAAUACAUCUACCAUAUAACCCAAUUCCAAAAUAAAAUCCGUUCUGUAAUUUCUUUACCCGUCUCGUGAUUUUUUUUAUAGUAGUAAUUUUUAAAAUUUAAGAAUUAUUUAUUAUAUAUAAAAUUUUUGCAACUUGUAUCAUUCUCUAAUAGAUUUAUAUUUUAUAGUUUAAUUUUAUAUAUAGUAACAUUAUAUAUACCACAUAACAUUUUUGGUUUUAUAUAAUCUUUUCUAAAUUAGGAUGAUUUGAUAUGUUAAUAAAUUAAAGAUUUAACCCGUAUUGAAACGGUGGAUUAAUUAUAUUUUACUGUCCCUCCAAAUUCGUCUUGCCAAAAAGCCAUUUAUUUUAUUAAUAUUAAUUUUAUUUAUGAUAUGACUUUGAUUUAUAAUCUAAACAUUUUAGCUAAUAACAUAGGAGUGCACCAUAUUUAUUUAAUAGGGGAAUGUACCAUAUGAUCCGAAUGCACUUUCACCCAAAUCCACCAAAAAAGUCUUGCAAAAAUACUAUAGAGAUAAGAAACGAUAGUCGGUUUUGAUAGGUAUAAGAUUAGCAAAUAUAUUAGUUAGCUUAAA
Molecule: small RNA, 605 nt
Filed under: Arabidopsis thaliana (thale cress)
Lineage: Eukaryota; Viridiplantae; Streptophyta; Magnoliopsida; Brassicales; Brassicaceae
Description: ATSL283880
Source: RNAcentral